UCACUAUUGGAGCGGCCGAUGUCGGAUUAGCUAGUUGGCGGGGUAACGGCCCACCAAGGCGACGAUCCGUAGCUGGUCUGAGAGGACGACCAGCCACACUGGAACUGAGACACGGUCCAG
This 120-nucleotide ribosomal RNA is filed under the name uncultured bacterium. RNAcentral describes it as "partial 16S ribosomal RNA". It matches the Rfam family "Bacterial small subunit ribosomal RNA", at positions 215 to 334 of the family's 1533-position model. The record is from RNAcentral.